UAAAUCAUGACAGGUGCAUCGUCUGUUGU
RNAcentral lists this non-coding RNA (29 nucleotides) under Mus musculus (house mouse). Lineage: Eukaryota; Metazoa; Chordata; Mammalia; Rodentia; Muridae. The record is from RNAcentral.